RNAcentral lists this ribosomal RNA (417 nucleotides) under uncultured bacterium. RNAcentral describes it as "bacterial SSU rRNA". It matches the Rfam family "Bacterial small subunit ribosomal RNA", at positions 28 to 450 of the family's 1533-position model. The record is from RNAcentral.
GACGAACGCUGGCGGCGUGCUUAACACAUGCAAGUCGAGCGGAAAGGCCCUUUCGGGGGUACUCGAGCGGCGAACGGGUGAGUAACACGUGAGUAAUCUGCCCUUGGCUUUGGGAUAACUACCGGAAACGGUGGCUAAUACCGGAUAUGACCAUGCUCGGCAUCGGGUGUGGUGGAAAGUUUUUUCGGCCAGGGAUGUGCUCGCGGCCUAUCAGCUUGUUGGUGGGGUAAUGGCCUACCAAGGCUUCGACGGGUAGCCGGCCUGAGAGGGUGACCGGCCACACUGGGACUGAGACACGGCCCAGACUCCUACGGGAGGCAGCAGUGGGGAAUAUUGGACAAUGGGCGGAAGCCUGAUCCAGCAACGCCGCGUGAGGGAUGACGGCCUGGUUGUAAACGUCCUUCAGUACCGACGAAG